Molecule: non-coding RNA, 88 nt
Filed under: unclassified sequences
Source: RNAcentral
UUGAUGUUGCCGCCGGGUAACAAGCAUCAAAUGCACCAGCCCCAUGUCGUUAGGCCUUAGAAGACAUGGCAGGCCGGUGCAUUUUUUU